CUAUAACACAUUGAAACACCGGUUCACUUGCUAUCACCGAAGUUAAGCAACAUCAAAUCUGGUCAGUACCUAGAUUAGUGACCACUUGGGAGUUCUAGGUGUUGUAAG
This is a non-coding RNA of Acanthosepion pharaonis, 108 nucleotides long. The record is from the annotation of a GenBank genome assembly. Lineage: Eukaryota; Metazoa; Mollusca; Cephalopoda; Sepiida; Sepiidae.